GACACGCAACAUUUGCUAUUUCUGCUACUUUUUCUCUCUCCCUCUUUUCUUGUUUGCGGAUCCAUCCUUGCUUGCGGCUCUUCUUCUUCGUUCGCUAGUUUAGGGUUUAUCAGUACCACUUAAACCUAACACGCAAAAAAGGAUGCAGGGCAAAGAAUCUCAAGGUUCCAAUGAGAACCUUGAGGCUAAACAGAAAACACCCAUGUUCAAUAACUUGGGUGGGAUGAAAGAUCUUUUGAAGAAACUGAUAGCUCAACUGAUUGUUCCAUGGUAUCAUCCUGCGAUUUUAAGAAAGCUAAAUGUUACUCCUCGUACUAGAAUCUUGCUGCAUGGGCCAAGCGGUUGUGGCAAGACCACACUGGCUCACGCGAUAGCUAAUGAGACUCGUGUUCCCUUCUAUCAGAUAUUACCAGGUGAUUCUGAAGAAAGCAUCAGAGCUAUUUUUGCCGAAGAUUGGAAAGCGUGGAUCAUCUAAUGGCGGAGCUACAAAUAGUCAAGAUUCUCUUGACCUGGCCUUGAGAGGAUUGUUUCAGCGAGAGCUUCUUCUUGUCAUUAUUGAAGCGUCAAGACGAGAUAUCCUUAAGUUACUGAUCUGCAAACCUAAGGGUUCAUUCGAUCUUGAUGAAAUAGUAAGGUAUAAGGAGGCUAAUCUAUUGUUAUAGCACAAAAUCAUUUGUGAGGGGAGAAGGAAACUAUCUCAAAAUAUUCCAAAACGAUGGAAGCAAUUUUUCUAGGGUAAAGAUUUGGACGUCAGAACGUCCGAUUUCCAGGUGUCCUAAAUUUGUUUUUUUGUUUACUUUCUUAUUGUUAAUGUUGUUAUAAUGUUAUUAUAAUUGCUAUAAUUGUUUAAUUUCACAUAGGAAUUUGUGAAAAAAAAAAGUGUAACUUUGAUUAAUAAGAGAGAAUUUCUUAUCCGCUAUUCUCAAUGUGAAAUAGGAAGAUGUCCAGGGACUAGAUAGUUUAAGAGAGGAUUUAAACAGGAUUUAAACACCUCUCUUAAAUUAUCCAGGCCCUCGACAUCUUCCCAUUUCACAUUGGGAACAGCGGAUAAGAAGUUCUCUCUUAUUAACGAAAGUUGCAUUUUUUUCAAAAAUUCCUGAAUGAAAAUAAACAAUUAUAGUAAUUAUAAUAACAUUAUAGCAACAUUAACAAUAAAAAAGUAAACAAAGAAACAAAUCUUAGAGUACUGGAAAUUCGGAAGUUGUGAUGCCAUGUUUAUCCAAAUCUUUACCCAAAAAGGUUGCUUCCACCCGUCUGGAAUAUACGGAGAUAGUUCCAUUUGUCCCUCACAAAUGAUUAUGUACAUUAACAAUCUGCCAAACCUUCUAAAUCAGCGGCAACAUAACCUGUCGUAGACCUUACUAUUCCAUUAAGAUCGAUUAACUCUUAAAGUUUGCAAGUCAGCAACUUAAGGAUAUCUCGUCUCGAGACUUCAUCAAAAAUGGCAUGAACAAACUCUCCGUAAAAACAAUACUCUCAAGGCCGGGUCAAGACAAUCCGAACUAUUUGGUAACAGCCUCUUCAUUCUUGUCCUAAUUGCAUUGAUGAAUUGAUUUUUCCCCCCUACCCUUGAAAAUAUUGUUUAGUUGAAUUUCAUAGGUUGAUGAAUGUGAUUGGAUUAUCUAUUUUAGGCAUAUGGGGUUGCAAAUCUGACGGGAAUGGCUCCCUGGUUGUAGUAAAACUAUUAUUGCCAAAGCUGUUGCCAAUGAAGCGGGAGCUAAUUUCAUUCGUAUUAAGGUUUGUCUAAAUACUUCAUCUUACCUUAUUCAUUUUUGGUUUUGCUUCAAUGGGAAUAUUGACAAAUGUAUACAUGAAUAAAAUUACCGUUUGGAUAUUUUUAUCGCGUAAAAACCAUCUUUUGUGGAUACAAAACUAAUCUUGUUAAUUUAUGGUUAAUAUUGUCAGUGUUUUAAAGUUUUAUAGUUAGAAAUGGCAGUUUACUCGUUCAUUUAUUGAGAUUAGUCUCUUUCGAGAAUUCGAAAUCAACUCUUGAAUUAGGAUUCUUGUAUUCUUUUACAUUGAUUUGGGAAUAAUACCUGUUAUCUAUCACUAUUCAAUUAACUUCAGGUGGAUCAGGCAUUGAACGAGUAGUGAAUCAGUUACUAAUUGAGCUAGACGGUGCGGGACAACGCAAAAUGUUUUUGUCAUUGGUGCAACAAAUAGGCCUGAUAGGAUGGAUGAGGCUCUCCUCCGUCCUGGUAGACUUGGUAAACAACUUUACGUUCCUCUGCCAAGCACUGACCAGCGGUUUUCAAUAUUGAAAGCUCUUGCAAGGAAGGAGCCUGUUGAUCCUACCGUGGAUCUGAGAGCCAUAGCUGAAGCGUGUGAAAAUUUAGUGGCACAGACCUUGCUGAAUUGGUUUGUCCCUGCUAUAUCUUUUUCUGCUUGUUUUAAUAAUCCUUUGAAGGAGGAAUAAUGGGGGGAAGAAGUUAUUUUCUUGAUGAUACAGGUGGAUGAAGCAACUUGUGCUGCUAUUGAUGAGAAAUUGACCUCAGUUGAAGCCUCUAGUGAUACUAAUACUUGCAAGCCAAGACAUUCUGAUAUAGCACUUAGUCAGGUCUUUCCCUCAGUGUCUUCGGCGAAAAGGCGGAAGUAUGAGCAUGAGCGCUCGGCAAAGCGAUUUAAAGCAUCAUGAAGAUCAUGGAACUGGUUGUUCUAGGAGAUAUAACCCUCCUCUUCUAGUCGACUGAAACUUACUUCAAGUAGCAGCACUACAAGAAAAUGUGUAUUAAAAUACUUUUUAGCUGGAAUAUUAAGUUUUAACACUUAUUUCAGGUUA
Molecule: long non-coding RNA, 2779 nt
Organism: Arachis duranensis
Lineage: Eukaryota; Viridiplantae; Streptophyta; Magnoliopsida; Fabales; Fabaceae
Exons: 5
Source: RefSeq, a predicted model, not a curated record